This 153-nucleotide small nuclear RNA is filed under the name Rasamsonia emersonii CBS 393.64. RNAcentral describes it as "U4 spliceosomal RNA". The stretch from base 1 to 136 matches the Rfam family "U4 spliceosomal RNA". From Rfam's summary of the family: U4 small nuclear RNA (U4 snRNA) is a component of the major U2-dependent spliceosome. The structure of U4 snRNA from yeast and human has been reported. The record is from Rfam by way of RNAcentral. Lineage: Eukaryota; Fungi; Ascomycota; Eurotiomycetes; Eurotiales; Trichocomaceae.
AUCCCGGUGCAGGGGCGAGACGCUUAUCAGUGAGGGUUCGCCCGAGAUAGCGUUUUUGCUAGUUGAAAACUACCUAGUUUGACCGCUCCAGCUGAUUUUCGAGUCAGCUGGGAAUUUUUGAUACCCAAUCCAUUACCAACUCCCAUGACUUGG